UCUGGUAUAACACUGCCAUCUGCAG
Molecule: non-coding RNA, 25 nt
Filed under: Cricetulus griseus (Chinese hamster)
Lineage: Eukaryota; Metazoa; Chordata; Mammalia; Rodentia; Cricetidae
Source: RNAcentral